This 524-nucleotide ribosomal RNA is filed under the name Bacillus sp. (in: firmicutes). RNAcentral describes it as "bacterial SSU rRNA". It matches the Rfam family "Bacterial small subunit ribosomal RNA", at positions 19 to 511 of the family's 1533-position model. The record is from RNAcentral. Lineage: Bacteria; Bacillati; Bacillota; Bacilli; Caryophanales; Bacillaceae.
AUGGCUCAGGAUGAACGCUGGCGGCGUGCCUAAUACAUGCAAGUCGAGCGAACUGAUUAGAAGCUUGCUUCUAUGACGUUAGCGGCGGACGGGUGAGUAACACGUGGGCAACCUGCCUGUAAGACUGGGAUAACUUCGGGAAACCGAAGCUAAUACCGGAUAGGAUCUUCUCCUUCAUGGGAGAUGAUUGAAAGAUGGUUUCGGCUAUCACUUACAGAUGGGCCCGCGGUGCAUUAGCUAGUUGGUGAGGUAACGGCUCACCAAGGCAACGAUGCAUAGCCGACCUGAGAGGGUGAUCGGCCACACUGGGACUGAGACACGGCCCAGACUCCUACGGGAGGCAGCAGUAGGGAAUCUUCCGCAAUGGACGAAAGUCUGACGGAGCAACGCCGCGUGAGUGAUGAAGGCUUUCGGGUCGUAAAACUCUGUUGUUAGGGAAGAACAAGUACGAGAGUAACUGCUCANNNUANCUGCUCGUACCUUGACGGUACCUAACCAGAAAGCCACGGCUAACUACGUGCCAG